GAUGAACGCUGGCGGCGUGCCUAAUACAUGCAAGUCGAGCGAACAGACUUGGAGCUUGCUCCUCUGUCGAUAGCGGCGGACGGGUGAGUAACACGUGGAUAAUCUCCCUAUCAGCCUGGGAUAACUUCGGGAAACCGGAGCUAAUACCGCAUAAUAUCUUUAAACGUAUGGUUUAAUAUUGAAAGACGGUUUUGCUGUCUCUAAUAGAUGUAUCCCGGCCUAUUUGGCUGGUUGUUAAGUUAACGGCUUCCCAAGGGAACGAUGGGUAGCCGACGGGAGAGGGGGAUAGGCCACACGGGAAGGGAGACAGGGACAAGAGGCCUCAGGGAGGGAGAAGAAGGAAAACUUAGGAAAUGGGGGAAAGCCUGACGGAGAAAGGCGGCGUGAGGGAUGAAGGUCUUGGGAUCGAAAAACUCGGUUAUUGGGGAAAAACAAAUGGGGAAGGGAAUGUGCACGUAGUGACGGUACCUAAUCAGAAAGCCACGGCUAACUACGUG
RNAcentral lists this ribosomal RNA (497 nucleotides) under uncultured bacterium. RNAcentral describes it as "partial 16S ribosomal RNA". It matches the Rfam family "Bacterial small subunit ribosomal RNA", at positions 28 to 507 of the family's 1533-position model. The record is from RNAcentral.